CCUUUCACGCACAAAUGCAUUUCAGAGUUGCGUCUGGACCCUUUUUCCGCGUAGGAACUAAAGUAGGAUGGGACGGUCAUCCCCUUUAUGUCCUGUGAGGCUAAAAAGGUAUUUUAAAGCUUUUCAACUUAACGAGGGAGUAGGGAACACAUAUAUGUUUAAAGGUUUUUUUUUAAAUAAAAAUUUCCAACACUCCCACCAUCAAACUUAUUAAUCAGGUAAACUCAGAAAUCUGAAAAUAUUAAGGAUGCGUUUCGUUACACU
RNAcentral lists this long non-coding RNA (264 nucleotides) under Elaeis guineensis (African oil palm). RNAcentral describes it as "long non-coding RNA (EGUI_LNC005559)". The record is from RNAcentral. Lineage: Eukaryota; Viridiplantae; Streptophyta; Magnoliopsida; Arecales; Arecaceae.